RNAcentral lists this microRNA (25 nucleotides) under Drosophila melanogaster (fruit fly). RNAcentral describes it as "dme-miR-2500-5p". The record is from miRBase by way of RNAcentral. Lineage: Eukaryota; Metazoa; Arthropoda; Insecta; Diptera; Drosophilidae.
GUAAGGAACACACAUAUACAAUACC